RNAcentral lists this ribosomal RNA (399 nucleotides) under uncultured bacterium. Its description in RNAcentral is "bacterial SSU rRNA". It matches the Rfam family "Bacterial small subunit ribosomal RNA", at positions 28 to 430 of the family's 1533-position model. The record is from RNAcentral.
GACGAACGCUGGCGGCGUGCUUAACACAUGCAAGUCGAGCGGUAAGGCCCUUUCGGGGGUACACGAGCGGCGAACGGGUGAGUAACACGUGGGUGACCUGCCCUUAGCUCUGGGAUAAGCCUGGGAAACUGGGUCUAAUACCGGAUAUGACCUCAUGACUCAUGUUGUGGGGUGGAAAGCCUUGUGCGGCUAGGGAUGGGCCCGCGGUCUAUCAGCUUGUUGGUGGGGUAAUUGCCUACCAAGGCGACGACGGGUAGCCGGCCUGAGAGGGCGACCGGCCACACUGGGACUGAGACACGGCCCAGACUCCUACGGGAGGCAGCAGUGGGGAAUCUUGCGCAAUGGGCGAAAGCCUGACGCAGCGACGCCGCGUGAGGGAUGACGGCCUCGGUUGUAACU